GAUGAACGCUGGCGGCGUGCCUAAUACAUGCAAGUCGAGCGAACGGACGAGAAUCUUGCUUUUCUGAUGUUAGCGGCGGACGGGUGAGUAACACGUGGAUAACCUACCUAUAAGACUGGGAUAACUUCGGGAAACCGGAGCUAAUACCGGAUAAUAUUUUGAACCGCAUGGUUCAAAAGUGAAAGACGGUCUUGCUGUCACUUAUAGAUGGAUCCGCGCUGCAUUAGCUAGUUGGUAAGGUAACGGCUUACCAAGGCAACGAUGCAUAGCCGACCUGAGAGGGUGAUCGGCCACACUGGAACUGAGACACGGUCCAGACUCCUACGGGAGGCAGCAGUAGGGAAUCUUCCGCAAAGGGCGAAAGCCUGACGGAGCAACGCCGCGUGAGUGAUGAAGGUCUUCGGAUCGUAAAACUCUGUUAUUAGGGAAGAACAUAUGUGUAAGUAACUGUGCACAGCUUGACGGUACCUAAUCAGAAAGCCACGGCUAACUACGUG
This 497-nucleotide ribosomal RNA is filed under the name uncultured bacterium. RNAcentral's name for it is "partial 16S ribosomal RNA". It matches the Rfam family "Bacterial small subunit ribosomal RNA", at positions 28 to 507 of the family's 1533-position model. The record is from RNAcentral.